RNAcentral lists this ribosomal RNA (254 nucleotides) under uncultured bacterium. RNAcentral describes it as "partial 16S ribosomal RNA". It matches the Rfam family "Bacterial small subunit ribosomal RNA", at positions 524 to 776 of the family's 1533-position model. The record is from RNAcentral.
UACGUAGGGUGCAAGCGUUGUCCGGAAUUAUUGGGCGUAAAGGGCGCGUAGGUGGUGGCUUAAGCGUGCGGUGAAAGCUCGGGGCUCAACCCCGAGUCGGCCGUGCGAACUGGGCUCACUGGAGCAUAGUAGAGGCAGGUGGAAUUCCGGGUGUAGCGGUGGAAUGCGUAGAGAUCCGGAAGAACACCGGUGGCGAAGGCGGCCUGCUGGGCUAUGGCUGACACUGAGGCGCGACAGCGUGGGGAGCAAACAGG